Molecule: long non-coding RNA, 1852 nt
Filed under: Medicago truncatula (barrel medic)
Lineage: Eukaryota; Viridiplantae; Streptophyta; Magnoliopsida; Fabales; Fabaceae
Description: long non-coding RNA (MTRU_LNC001902)
Source: RNAcentral
UUUUUUUUAAUGGCAAAUAUAUAUAUUAUAUAUAAAAUAUAAAAGGAAGAAAUCUCCUACAAAAGUCCAAACAUAGAUACAAAUUUGAGUACAAGAAGUAUUCAAGUCAAGCGAUAACAAAAUCAAAGAAACCAUCCACAUAAAAGAAGAGCAAAAACUAAAACCACAAGAAAAACACAUAACUCCUAACAGGAACACCCAAGGGACAGGCGAACAUGAGAAAGACCAUGAGCAGAACCCCUCAGUCAACCAACCCGUAGACAAAUCUGCCACAAGACACUAAUGAUGCCAACAUAGAGUGGGUUCAUGAUCCCGCUCAUAGAAGGAACAGACGUGAUUAUAAUGUUUUUCUAAAAUCCACUUCCAAUAGGUGAACUUAACCAUAUCCACCAACUGGAGCACAUACAUCUCCUUUCUCGAAAAAAUGCGAGCAUUUCAGGAUCUCCACAUAGACCAGAUGACAAAUUGCCAGAUUAAUAUGUACCCUAACCUCUCCUUUUUCCUACCUAAAUCGAACAUAAAACUAAGAAGACUUGCUAGAUCUGAAGGUAAAACUAACUCCCAUCCCAACCAUCUAAACACAUGAUUACUAAACCUGGACUAAAAAAAGACAUCUAACAAAAAUGUGACAAGCCGACUCUACAUUCUCAUUACAAAAAGCACAAGAAAUACCACCAGGAUCAACUAUAAUUCUCCUUGAAAAGAGAUUUUGACGAGUUGGAAUCCUAUCCUCAAGCAGCUGCCAGGAGAAGACAUUUACCUUGAGAGGAGACCAAGACUCCCAUACCCUUGCAAUAAGUUACACAAUAUCCUUUGACCUCUCAUCAACCACAUUAACUCUCUUAUACUUUCUCCUCAACAUGACAAUGCACAUAUGAUUGUUGUGUAGCAACUGUGAAUUAGAAGUUCAACAUGACUUCAAAAAGUAAUAGAGGUUGAACACUUUAUAACUGAGAUGACCUAUAAAUUCAUUGUCUUUAAAGUUUUGGAUAAAAGUGAAUCGUCCCUUCAAAGCUCCUCUCAUAAUCCAACAAUAAUGUAUAUAAUUUAAAUCUCUAAUAUAUUUAUAAUACAUAAGUUAUAUAUUUCAGUUGUGGCAAAAAAAUCUAGCAUUUAAAAGUCUCUGAUAAAACUAUGUUCAUGUUAAAAAUCAACUUGACAAUAGUGGGGAGUUUAUUACUUUAACAUGCUAAAGACCACCUAAUAUAACAUAUUAUCUUUGAAAAAUUUGAUUUACUCUUUUGUAAUAGUCAAGGCCAUGGAAUUUACUAUUACCUCUGAUACAAGUUCAUAGCUACGUAGAUGUCCAGCAUUGCACAAUGCUUAUGUUCCUUUAAAAGCAAAAUUAGCAGCUCCACAAAAUUGGUAUGAGUAGAAAAAGUCAAGAAUCAACAAUUGAUCUUCCAAAAUCAAUAUUCGUAAGUUUAAUAAUUACCCAACCAGGAACCUUUAUUAAAUCCAAAUUAAUCAACUCUUCAGUUUCUUACUUUCUUAUUGUCGAUGAGUUUAAUUUAAACCUUCUGGAAAAAAAUUAUGCUUCUAAAUUAAAUUUUUUUUUUCCAAACACAAACAAAGAAGAUCCCAAAGCAGGUCCCCAUUUUGCAAAGUCUUGCUAACCCCUAACUUGCCAUUGCUUAAGAGGGAGGCUUGGAGAAUGGAGAUUCAUUGUAACUUAUCUCAUCCAUUCUUUCAAGAGAUGAAUUACAAUGUUCAUAUUUUACAUUUGAGGUGCUAGUUAAGUUGUAAGCUAAUCUCAAGGUGUUGAGUUAGAAUCUUGUUGGGGGCAACCGGAAAAUGACUUAGUGCCACCUGAAUUAAUAAAAUAAAUUACAACCCUAAUUUUUUAUGAAAA